AAACACUGUCUUAAUAAACCAUCUCCUCCACCUUCUUUAUUUUGUAAGCAGAAGUGGAAAUGGGUAGGCGAAGACAGGCGACUUGCUAAAGGUCACCCGGCUGCCAUUCAGACUCGCGAGUGUUCAGCACUUUCCACUGUCCUUGGAAGAUUCACACUGGUCUUGCUGCCUCUUUUUUUUUUUUUUUUUUUUUUUUCUCUUUCAGCAGAAUGGUUGGAGGUAGUGGAGUGUGGGAGGAAGGGGAGAGAGUCUAGAGAGAAAGCCCCUGAAAAGGACCCAGUGACUAGGAAGGGAAGAAGAGUCUACUGCUCUUUCUAUGCUCGCGCGGCAGGGACCCUGACAUCAGAGGCUCUGAUGGCCCGAGGCUGCGUUGGAGAGGAAAUAAAUGAGCCUGCCCUACUUCCAGUCUCUAGCAGUCUACGUGCAGCACGGAACCUGGGCAGGGCAAGACGGGUGUGGACGGCCGACCUCUAGUGGCCGGGAGUGAGAGGUGCAUCGCCUGCUAUGCUGAGAGCCUGGAAAGCAGAGUGACAUCGCGGGGUCGAUGUGUCCAGCCCAUGCUGGGGGGAAACUCAAAGCAAACGCAUUGCGCUGAACAGACUGGAUGGGGAGACAGCAACAUCAGUGUUCAGCUUGUUAGUGCUGUUUAGCCAGCCUGGAGUCGUGAGUAUGACCGGAAGUGGAGGAGGCCGGGACCAAGACUGGAGGGAUGGGACCUCCCUCCAAGGGCUCGUCCUUACUGUCAGGAAUACAUAGCGGCUCGCCACACAGUCCAGGGCUUCGACAGAAGAACGUCUCGAAGACUUCAUGUGAAGCCUCUCAAUGUCUAAACGUUGGGCCAACUUUUAAAAACGUUAUAGGGAUCAAAAAUUUGACCUGUGGUUUGUCCCGUCACAGUUCAGGUUGACCACGUUUAUUAUGGAAAAAAGAGUUUUAUCACACUCCAUGAAGUAGAUGUGUUAGACUACAACGCUUCUGGUGUGCGGAAAGCAACGACUUCCCUGGCUGUUUUUCAUUUCCGUCCAAUGGGUGCUUUGGAAAGAGCUUGGGCCCAGGCCCCAGAGGCCCCUUGCACCCAUUGUCUCAGCCUCGCAUUAACAAGUUGGCAUCCCCUUUCUGAGCCUCUUUUCUCAAGGGCAGUAUUGGCAAUCUCAUUCGAGGUCUCAUUUUAGCUCAAAAAUUCCAUGAUUCCUAAGGCACCACUUGGAUCCAAGAUUCUGUGAUUCUCAUUCCCAGGUGUCAGGGGCUGUGUCACCUCCCAGGAGGCACAGAGAGACUUUGUUUUUUUUUUUGUGCUGGCUACCUGCAAUCCCUUCACAGAGGCUGUGACGUGCAGCAGUGCCACAGUUACCCUUGGCCACAUGUUAGAACACUGUGGAGAGUUCUUCACCAAACGCAAUGCCAGGUCCGUUCCCAGCCACCCAGUUGCAUUGAAACAGACUCAGAGGAUGGGUUGCAGGCAGUGGGAGUGUUUUUAUGAAUCCCUGAGUGAUUCUCAAAUGCAUUAAGGUUGGCAGCCAGUGGUGCAGGUAGAAGCAGGCUUUUAGCCCAGUCUGGAAUGCCAGAGACUCAGACAACAGCAAACCAUGCUGGAGCCCAAGGCAAUAAGAGAAGAGCAGUCCCUGGUACACACUCAACACAUCCUCUCCUAUUUUGAUCCAAGUAGGAAAAGUUAAUAAAUUUCCACAAUCUGAAAUGUGACCA
This is a long non-coding RNA of Oryctolagus cuniculus (rabbit), 1704 nucleotides long. The record is from Ensembl. Lineage: Eukaryota; Metazoa; Chordata; Mammalia; Lagomorpha; Leporidae.